RNAcentral lists this long non-coding RNA (486 nucleotides) under Phasianus colchicus (ring-necked pheasant). Its description in RNAcentral is "lncRNA (ENSPCLG00000006354.1)". The record is from RNAcentral. Lineage: Eukaryota; Metazoa; Chordata; Aves; Galliformes; Phasianidae.
CAGGCAGUGGGGGAACACUGUAGUAACAGCCAGGAAAAAAAAAAAUUGAAUAUCGAUACCUAAAUCAAUCCUCCUGCACUUAAUCAAAAUCAAUACGCAUAGUCACACACAGGCAGCUAAAUUUAUGUGCUAUCUAGAUUUUCAGAAGUAACUAUUGAUGCAAUUUUCAAAGCCUUGCAUUUCAUAUGCUCACCAUGAGAUAUCUUAAUUGGGCUUGCUUUCAUGGAAAUGAUGCUCUGAAUUGCUGAGCACCUGUCAUAAAAGGCUACUGUCCAUUCUGCUUUGGUUGGCCUAUGACAGGAGCACCACACCCCUCUCUGAAGGAACCUGCUACAGCAUCCAGCCUUUCAAACAGCCUUUCCUCUCUUGUUAUAACAGGCCGGAGGAAAUGUUACACCAGCUUUCUUACAGAUCCUGAAAACAAAAAUGAUGAUGAGAAGAAUCCUAUCAGCAGUGACAAGCUUUUUCACUUUCUGCAUACUUCAG